AUGAACGCUGGCGGCGUGCCUAAUACAUGCAAGUCGAGCGCACAGACGAGGAGCUUGCUCCUCUGACGUUAGCGGCGGACGGGUGAGUAACACGUGGAUAACCUACCUAUAAGACUGGGAUAACUUCGGGAAACCGGAGCUAAUACCGGAUAAUAUAUUGAACCGCAUGGUUCAAUAGUGAAAGACGGUUUUGCUGUCACUUAUAGAUGGAUCCGCGCCGCAUUAGCUAGUUGGUAAGGUAACGGCUUACCAAGGCAACGAUGCGUAGCCGACCUGAGAGGGUGAUCGGCCACACUGGAACUGAGACACGGUCCAGACUCCUACGGGAGGCAGCAGUAGGGAAUCUUCCGCAAUGGGCGAAAGCCUGACGGAGCAACGCCGCGUGAGUGGUGAAGGUCUUCGGAUCGUAAAACUCUGUUAUUAGGGAAGAACAAAUGUGUAAGUAACUAUGCACGUCUUGACGGUACCUAAUCAGAAAGCCACGGCUAACUACGUG
Molecule: ribosomal RNA, 496 nt
Filed under: uncultured bacterium
Lineage: Bacteria
Description: partial 16S ribosomal RNA
Rfam family: Bacterial small subunit ribosomal RNA
Source: RNAcentral